GAUGAACGUUGGCGGCGUGCCUAACACAUGCAAGUCGAACGGGAGUCCGAUUUCGAUCGGAUGAGAGUGGCGGACGGGUGCGUAACACGUAGCUCACCUGCCCCGGAGUGCGGGAUAACG
This 120-nucleotide ribosomal RNA is filed under the name uncultured bacterium. RNAcentral describes it as "partial 16S ribosomal RNA". It matches the Rfam family "Bacterial small subunit ribosomal RNA", at positions 28 to 148 of the family's 1533-position model. The record is from RNAcentral.